This 68-nucleotide transfer RNA is filed under the name Bombus pyrosoma. Its description in RNAcentral is "tRNA-Leu". It matches the Rfam family "tRNA". From Rfam's summary of the family: Transfer RNA (tRNA) molecules are approximately 80 nucleotides in length. Their secondary structure includes four short double-helical elements and three loops (D, anti-codon, and T loops). Further hydrogen bonds mediate the characteristic L-shaped molecular structure. tRNAs have two regions of fundamental functional importance: the anti-codon, which is responsible for specific mRNA codon recognition, and the 3' end, to which the tRNAs corresponding amino acid is attached (by aminoacyl-tRNA synthetases). tRNAs cope with the degeneracy of the genetic code in two manners: having more than one tRNA (with a specific anti-codon) for a particular amino acid; and 'wobble' base-pairing, i.e. permitting non-standard base-pairing at the 3rd anti-codon position. Lineage: Eukaryota; Metazoa; Arthropoda; Insecta; Hymenoptera; Apidae. The record is from RNAcentral.
AUUGAUAUGGCAGAUUAGUGCGCUGAAUUUAAAAUUCAAUUAUAAAGAUUUUUUUUCUUUUAUUAAUA